CACCCAAGUCCUUGUAGUAUUCGCCGAACUCGUCGUUCCAUAGGAAGUGAAGGUACUUCCCGGAGGGCUUGGAUUUGAGCACCACGUAUUUCGGUAAUCCGGCGACCGUCGUCAUCUCACUUUCACAAUCUUUCUCUCUUUAUUUCUUCUGGUUUGGUAAUGGGUAUUAAUGAACGGGAGCGGGGAUAUCUAUUUAUAGA
RNAcentral lists this long non-coding RNA (200 nucleotides) under Linum usitatissimum (flax). RNAcentral describes it as "long non-coding RNA (LUSI_LNC000012)". Lineage: Eukaryota; Viridiplantae; Streptophyta; Magnoliopsida; Malpighiales; Linaceae. The record is from RNAcentral.